CCUACGGGUGACUGCAGUGAGGAAUAUUGGUCAAUGGGCGCUAGCCUGAACCAGCCAAGUAGCGUGAAGGAUGACUGCCCUAUGGGUUGUAAACUUCUUUUAUAUGGGAAUAAAGUGCAGUAUGUAUACUGCUUUGCAUGUACCUUAUGAAUAAGGAUCGGCUAACUCCGUGCCAGCAGCCGCGGUAAUACGGAGGAUCCGAGCGUUAUCCGGAUUUAUUGGGUUUAAAGGGAGCGUAGGCGGGUUGUUAAGUCAGUUGUGAAAGUUUGCGGCUCAACCGUAAAAUUGCAGUUGAUACUGGCAGCCUUGAGUACAGUAGAGGUAGGCGGAAUGCGUGGUGUAGCGGUGAAAUGCUUAGAUAUCACGAAGAACUCCGAUUGCGAAGGCAGCCUGCUGGACUGUAACUGACGCUGAUGCUCGAAAGUGCGGGUAUCAAACAGGAUUAGAUACCCGAGUAGUC
RNAcentral lists this ribosomal RNA (460 nucleotides) under uncultured bacterium. RNAcentral describes it as "partial 16S ribosomal RNA". It matches the Rfam family "Bacterial small subunit ribosomal RNA", at positions 338 to 795 of the family's 1533-position model. The record is from RNAcentral.